Molecule: ribosomal RNA, 1341 nt
Filed under: uncultured bacterium
Lineage: Bacteria
Description: partial 16S ribosomal RNA
Rfam family: Bacterial small subunit ribosomal RNA
Source: RNAcentral
GACGAACGCUGGCGGCGUGCUUAACACAUCUUUAGUCGAACGGUAAGGCUCCAGCUUGCUGGGGUACACGAGUGGCGAACGGGUGAGUAACACGUGGGUGACCUGCCCUGCACUUCGGGAUAAGCCUGGGAAACUGGGUCUAAUACCGGAUAGGACCGCACCGUGAGGGUGUGGUGGAAAGUUUUUUCGGUGUGGGAUGGGCCCGCGGCCUAUCAGCUUGUUGGUGGGGUAAUGGCCUACCAAGGCGGCGACGGGUAGCCGGCCUGAGAGGGUGGACGGCCACAUUGGGACUGAGACACGGCCCAGACUCCUACGGGAGGCAGCAGUGGGGAAUAUUGCACAAUGGGCGGAAGCCUGAUGCAGCGACGCCGCGUGGGGGAUGACGGCCUUCGGGUUGUAAACUCCUUUCACCAUCGACGAAGGGUUUCUGACGGUAGAUGGAGAAGAAGCACCGGCUAACUACGUGCCAGCAGCCGCGGUAAUACGUAGGGUGCGAGCGUUGUCCGGAAUUACUGGGCGUAAAGAGCUCGUAGGUGGUUUGUCGCGUCGUCUGUGAAAUUCCGGGGCUUAACUCCGGGCGUGCAGGCGAUACGGGCAUAACUUGAGUACUGUAGGGGAGACUGGAAUUCCUGGUGUAGCGGUGAAAUGCGCAGAUAUCAGGAGGAACACCGGUGGCGAAGGCGGGUCUCUGGGCAGUAACUGACGCUGAGGAGCGAAAGCAUGGGGAGCGAACAGGAUUAGAUACCCUGGUAGUCCAUGCCGUAAACGGUGGGCGCUAGGUGUGGGUUUCCUUCCACGGGAUCCGUGCCGUAGCUAACGCAUUAAGCGCCCCGCCUGGGGAGUACGGCCGCAAGGCUAAAACUCAAAGGAAUUGACGGGGGCCCGCACAAGCGGCGGAGCAUGUGGAUUAAUUCGAUGCAACGCGAAGAACCUUACCUGGGCUUGACAUAUACAGGAUCGCGCCAGAGAUGGUGUUUCCCUUGUGGCUUGUAUACAGGUGGUGCAUGGUUGUCGUCAGCUCGUGUCGUGAGAUGUUGGGUUAAGUCCGCAACGAGCGCAACCCUUGUCUUAUGUUGCCAGCACGUUGUGGUGGGGACUCGUAAGAAACUGCCGGGGUUAACUCGGAGGAAGGUGGGGAUGACGUCAAAUCAUCAUGCCCCUUAUGUCCAGGGCUUCACACAUGCUACAAUGGUCGGUACAGUGGGUUGCCAGUCCGUGAGGGCGAGCUAAUCCCGCAAAGCCGGUCUCAGUUCGGAUCGGGGUCUGCAACUCGACCCCGUGAAGUCGGAGUCGCUAGUAAUCGCAGAUCAGCAACGCUGCGGUGAAUACAAACCCGGGCCU